RNAcentral lists this ribosomal RNA (492 nucleotides) under uncultured bacterium. Its description in RNAcentral is "partial 16S ribosomal RNA". It matches the Rfam family "Bacterial small subunit ribosomal RNA", at positions 29 to 507 of the family's 1533-position model. The record is from RNAcentral.
AGUGAACGCUGGCGGUAGGCCUAACACAUGCAAGUCGAACGGCAGCACAGUAAGAGCUUGCUCUUACGGGUGGCGAGUGGCGGACGGGUGAGGAAUACAUCGGAAUCUACUUUUUCGUGGGGGAUAACGUAGGGAAACUUACGCUAAUACAGCAUACGACCUACGGGUGAAAGCAGGGGAUCUUCGGACCUUGCGCGAUUGAAUGAGCCGAUGUCGGAUUAGCUAGUUGGCGGGGUAAAGGCCCACCAAGGCGCCGAUCCGUAGCUGGUCUGAGAGGAUGAUCGGCCACACUGGAACGGAGACACGGUCCAGACUCCUACGGGAGGCAGCAGUGGGGAAUAUUGGACAAUGGGCGCAAGCCUGAUCCAGCCAUACCGCGUGGGUGAAGAAGGCGUUCGGGUUGUAAAGCCCUUUUGUUGGGAAAGAAAAGCAGCAGGUUAAUACCCCGCGGUUCUGACGGUACCCAAAGAAUAAGCACCGGCUAACUUCGUG